UCUAAGGAUGAUCCUUCAGAUCAGCUCACGCUAUCUAUCGGAUCGUUUUAGAAACAUUCAGGGGCCAACAGUUUCAGGAUUGUUGAGCUCCAUUGGCGGGAUUUCGCCGUCUUCGUUUCUCUUUCUUCGCGGACGAACACGCGCCAGGGGCUGAGCGCUGUGCGGUGCACCGACUAAGCGUCGCGUGCGCGCCGGCAUGUCUCUCGUGUUAGGGGCUUGUAGCUCAGUUGGUUAGAGCGCGCGCUUGAUAAGCGUGAGGUCGGAAGUUCAAGUCUUCCCAGGCCCACCAUUUUGAUCGAGUGCGGAGCAUUCGUCUUCUGGUACGGGGCCAUAGCUCAGCUGGGAGAGCGCGUGCUUUGCAAGCAUGAGGUCGUCGGUUCGAUCCCGUCUGGCUCCACCAGAUGGUUUGAUCACCAACGGCGUUACCGUCGUCCGCGAAACAUCACUUCGCACUCAUUGGUCCGGAUGGACGGUGACGUGCGUGUUUUCUGACAUCGUAAAGAGGAGAUCGAUCCGAGUUUGGAUCAAGCGAAGCAAUUCGUCUGAACCAUUCAUUAUCUCCGGGAUCAUUUCGGCGCUCGCGCAUCGCAGUUCAUCGCAAGAUGAGUGGGGUGAGCGGGUUGUAAAUGAUCUCUUUUAGCGAAGCUUGACCGCCUCGCUAUCGGGCCGAUCUUACGAAGCAAGCUGGUCUUUCUAGUCAAUGUCCGGCUGCGCAAUCGCAUUCAUCGAGGAUGCGUGCCUGGGACUUCGGUCUUCGGGCAGUUGCGCAGACAACAUUCUGCCGAGUGUGUGGACAUUGAUAAUGAGAGCAAUCAAGUGCCUUAAGGGUGUUCGGUGGAUGCCUUGGCGCUGAGAGGCGAUGAAGGACGUGCUACGCUGCGAUAAGCCGUGGGGAGCUGCGAAGAAGCUUUGAUCCGCGGAUUU
Molecule: unclassified non-coding RNA, 924 nt
Filed under: Bradyrhizobium elkanii
Lineage: Bacteria; Pseudomonadati; Pseudomonadota; Alphaproteobacteria; Hyphomicrobiales; Nitrobacteraceae
Description: partial contains 16S-23S rRNA intergenic spacer, and 23S rRNA
Rfam family: Bacterial large subunit ribosomal RNA (bases 811-924)
Source: RNAcentral